RNAcentral lists this non-coding RNA (46 nucleotides) under Schistosoma margrebowiei. The record is from RNAcentral. Lineage: Eukaryota; Metazoa; Platyhelminthes; Trematoda; Strigeidida; Schistosomatidae.
ACACUGCUGAGGAGUCCCAAACUAGGACGAAACGGCCGUCCAGUGC